CAUGGAAGAGAGGGGUGGGGUGAGCAGAGCUCAUUAGCAUUGAAAGGGACAUGCACCAAAACGGGUCGUUGUGAUGAGACAUAAUUGCUUUUAAAG
Long non-coding RNA from Sinocyclocheilus anshuiensis, 96 nucleotides. RefSeq lists it as uncharacterized. The transcript is spliced from 3 exons. The record is from RefSeq and is a predicted model, not a curated record. Lineage: Eukaryota; Metazoa; Chordata; Actinopteri; Cypriniformes; Cyprinidae.